Cyanistes caeruleus (blue tit) is the source of this 1655-nucleotide non-coding RNA. NCBI's taxonomy places the organism in Eukaryota, Metazoa, Chordata, Aves, Passeriformes, Paridae. The record is from RefSeq and is a predicted model, not a curated record.
ACGAGGAUGAGGAUGAGUGCCACGGUGUGUCCCUGCCCUUCAGACAGAGCCUGCCUUGCCGUAAAUCAGAACUGAACCACAGCAACAUGCUCAUUUUCACCUCAGGUGUGCUUCAGAUGUGGAGGGAUGCUUUGAUUCCUUGGAUCAGUAAUACUGGGGAGCAUUGCAGGCUUGAAGAACACGAGACCUGGAGCAGAAAGGCACGGAUCUCUGUUUUUCUCCCAGAAAUACCGUGUAAAACUGGCAGAGUCUGUGGAUCACCCUCUCUCUCCCCACAAAUUGCCUUUCUUUUCUUUGAAAAACUCGAUGGCAGGUGCAGAGACCUCAGUACCACACUCUAUUUGUAGUGGGAGUCAGGAUUUAUCUAUCUGUAUUCUAUUUAUUUGGGUUUAUCUAUCUGUAUUCUAUUUAUUUGGGUUUUAUCUAUUUAUCUGUUUGUGGUAGGGUCAGGAGCUGAGCAGGCUCCAGCUGUUUGGGGUUUCUUACAGGGGAAGAACAACUUUGUUGUCCUGACCCGUUCUGCUACCUCUGCUUCUCCCUGGAGCACCCCAAAACUCCUGAUUCUUACACAGCUGAGGCAGCAAGCUUCAGGCCCCAAGCCCUGGGUAAGAACCGGUCAUUUUGGGUAAAGAGCAGCAGGGAGGAGAGUAUCAAACUGAAACAAGAGGUCAGAGCCUCUCCAGGUAAUAGGCCCGGGGGCGUUGCUGCACAAUUGAAGUAUCAGUGCAAUUUUAAUGCAAUUUGUUCUGUGUGGAAAGUCCAGGGAGGAAAUGUUCCUUUCCCCUGGGCUGAGAGGAGAAGCUGGAGGCUGCUUGCUCUGUGCUCAAGGCCAGGUCACUCGCUCUCCAUGUGGAGGAUGAUUGCUUUCUGCAGCUCAGUGAAUCACAGUACGCUCAGCGCCGGGGCAAUGUGAAAUUUCUAUAGUUCCGAUUUAAUGCAUUUCGGCCUUGGAGAAUGAGCUGCGGUCGCCUCUUCUCUUAGCAGACCCGUGUGUCCUUGCCUACCACGCUCCACUCUCCUGGAUACCAAAUGGCUUCAUCAUUCCGGCUGCUAAUGAAACCGGAAUUGAAUUAAUGGGAACAUGUGUGCCGGUCAGGAGAGGGCUGGACCACAAAGCGCCUCAUUUCUCAACGAGUUUAUCUUUCCAUUAAUCAUCUGUUGGUCACCAGAGAGCAGAAUUCCUCUGCAUUCAAACAGAUCUGCCGGGGACAGCAGACAAGGACUCUGCUCUGCUGGACCACGAGGGAGUUUUAACAACUUCUGAAAUCUGCGUUCUGGCCAAGGCCGGCCCAGAUCUCUCAGGAUCACUGGGACAGCCUAAACAGACAUUUUAUUGUCAGCAGUAUGGUGGCUGGGGAACCGGUGACCUCCGAGAUUUUGUCCCUCCCCUGGAGAGCUUCUCCCUCGGCGAGACACUUUAUCUCAUGGAGAGAAAAAGUGUCACUCCCAGAGCCCCUAGAGCUGAACAUGUUAAUUUGUUCCACCCCAUUGGUUUCCCUCCCUAUCAAUCCCCCCCGAUACCUGUAUCCCAGUUUCCCCUCCCCUCUCCCUCCCCAUAAAUAUCCCGGUUUUUCCCCAUUUUGGUGAGCUGCUGUCACUGGCUCCCUUCACUGAGGGCCCUGCUAUAAUAAAGGCUGUUUCUCAGUGGAAUGCCA